Molecule: ribosomal RNA, 545 nt
Filed under: uncultured bacterium
Lineage: Bacteria
Description: bacterial SSU rRNA
Rfam family: Bacterial small subunit ribosomal RNA
Source: RNAcentral
GAAACUGGUGCUAAUACCGGAUAUCCUUUUUUGCUGCAGGGCGAAUAAGGAAAGGUGGCCUCUUCAUGAAAGCUACCGCGUAGGGAUGAGCCUGCGUACCAUUAGCUAGUAGGUGUGGGUAACGGCCCACCUAGGCAACGAUGGUUAGCGGGUCUGAGAGGAUGAUCCGCCACACUGGAACUGGAACACGGACCAGACUCCUACGGGAGGCAGCAGUGAGGAAUAUUGCGCAAUGGGGGAAACCCUGACGCAGCGACGCCGCGUGAGUGAGGAAGGUCUUCGGAUCGUAAAGCUCUGUCAGAAGGGAAGAAGUGUUAUAUGGUUAACACCCAUAUAAUUUGACGGUACCUUCAGAGGAAGCACCGGCUAACUCCGUGCCAGCAGCCGCGGUAAUACGGAGGGUGCAAGCGUUGUUCGGAAUUACUGGGCGUAAAGGGCGCGUAGGCGGCCUGAUAAGUCAGGUGUGAAAGUCCACGGCUCAACCGUGGAAGUGCAUUUUGAAACUGUCAGGCUUGAGUAUCGGAGGGGGAGUGUGGAAUUCCCGG